This 460-nucleotide ribosomal RNA is filed under the name uncultured bacterium. RNAcentral describes it as "partial 16S ribosomal RNA". It matches the Rfam family "Bacterial small subunit ribosomal RNA", at positions 338 to 795 of the family's 1533-position model. The record is from RNAcentral.
CCUACGGGUGACAGCAGUGAGGAAUAUUGGUCAAUGGACGCAAGGCUGAACCAGCCAUGCCGCGUGAAGGACGACUGCCCUAUGAGUUGUAAACUGCUUUUGUACGGGGAUAAAUCCCGAUACGUGUAUCGGGUUGCCAGUAUCUUACGAAUAAGCAUCGGCUAACUCCGUGCCAGCAGCCGCGGUAAUACGGAGGAUUCAAGCGUUAUCCGGAUUUAUUGGGUUUAAAGGGUGCGUAGGCGGUUCGAUAAGUUAGUGGGGAAAUCGCGGGGCUCAACCCCGGAUCUGCCUUUGAUACUGUCGGGCUAGAGUUCAGACGCGGUAGGCGGAAUGUAUGGAGUAGCGGUGAAAUGCAUAGAGAUCAUACAGAACACCGAUAGCGAAGGCAGCUUACCAGACUACGACUGACGUUGAGGCACGAAAGCGUGGGGAGCAAACAGGAUUAGAUACCCUGGUAGUC